UCGAUUCUUCUUUUUUAAAUGUUAAAUUUUUUUCUAACAAACAAAAAAGAAUAAUGAUCCUAUGGAACACUGCCGCACCUUGUAGCAUAGGACCCUUAACGCUCACAGUCAGAUCUACAUCUCAAUCUUGAUCAGAAAUGGUUUCACCGGCUAACCCCUUCCUAAAACCGGCCAUGGCGGGUCAUUUGUGUCUCAAAACCUCCCUUUCUCUUGCUGCUCUUAGUCCUCGCCCCUUUUUCUCUCCCUCUCCCUAGCCCACUGGUUUCCUCGCUCUCUCCCAUCUUGCUCAGUCUUUAGAAUUUCCUUCUGUCCAAGCGGCCCCGAGAUAAUUUUGGAGGACAAAAAGAGACGAUGCUGCGAAAAACACCUGUUUCUCUCUCACAAGGUCACAAGGUCACAAGGUCACAGAGAAAGGCUAAAGAACAAAAAACAGGUAAGUUCUGAGGUCAACAAAGAAGAGUCUUAGAGGUAAAUACUCAAUAUACACCUGGCUAAAGAAGAUUUUAAGUACUACUAGUGUCAUCAAGAGAGAGAACUACAAGAAAAUAUGCACUGGCUCAAUAUGGUUUAGAAGACUAUUGUAGAAUAUUUGGAUAUUUUGUUGUCAAGUUUCACUCGAUCGGUGGAUGAGAAAGCAAUUGGGCAUUGUUUUAGCGCAAGUUGCAGCUUUGGAGGAGAAGAUUGAAGCCAUUUUAACUGACUUCGAGCUCAUAUUCUCAUUGUCAUCUUUCUUUUCUUUGCUUGUAUUGUGUGUUGUGAAUAACUGUUGUAUGUCCUAUACAACUUCCAAAUAUUAAUGAAAUGGGAAUGUUUUG
Molecule: long non-coding RNA, 815 nt
Organism: Amborella trichopoda
Lineage: Eukaryota; Viridiplantae; Streptophyta; Magnoliopsida; Amborellales; Amborellaceae
Source: RefSeq, a predicted model, not a curated record